RNAcentral lists this ribosomal RNA (475 nucleotides) under uncultured bacterium. RNAcentral describes it as "bacterial LSU rRNA". It matches the Rfam family "Bacterial large subunit ribosomal RNA", at positions 456 to 927 of the family's 2925-position model. The record is from RNAcentral.
CCCCGUAAGUCUAAGUAUUCCUGGGCGACCGAUAGUGAACGAGUACCGUGAGGGAAAGGUGAAAAGCACCCCGGGAGGGGAGUGAAAUAGUACCUGAAACCGUUGGUUUACAAACAGUCAAAGAGUCGUCACGCAAGUGGCCUCGAUGGCGUGCCUUUUGAAGAAUGAGCCUGCGAGUGACGGUAUGUGGCAAGGUUAACCAGUGAUGGGGAGCCGAAGCGAAAGCGAGUCUGAAUAGGGCGUUGAGUCGCAUGCUGUCGACCCGAAGCCAAGUGAUCUAUCCAUGGCCAGGUUGAAGCGGGGGUAAGACCCCGUGGAGGACCGAACACACGUCAGUUGAAAAUGGCGGUGAUGAGCUGUGGAUAGGGGUGAAAGGCCAAACAAACUUGGUGAUAGCUGGUUCUCCUCGAAAUGUAUUUAGGUACAGCGUCGUGCGUUCAGUCUCGGAGGUAGAGCACUGGAUGGGCUAGGGGGC